CAGCUGUCUCUCGGCGGCUCUGUGCCUCUUGCUGCUCGGCCUCAACUAGCUCCAGCUCGAGGUGCAGCACCUGCGAGUGCCAAAGCGCGUCGGGAUUGCUAGGUUCGCAAGGACCUGGACACAGCCAGGACAGGAAUACUUUCACCAGGUAUCUGCAUCCGUCCAUGCCGAAGCUUGAGCAAAUAGCCAAUACGGCCAUGGAUUCGGUCCAAUACCCUUGAUCAGCACCCUACCUGCUUCAUAAGCAACUGCUUUUGCACGUUGAGUCGUUCUACGCGCUCCUGCGUCUCCUCAAACAUGGCCCGGUACUUCGCCACUGCCUCCUGCAUGGCGGCCACGUCUGCUUGCGCCUGCUCACGGAAGGCCCCCUUUAGCCGCGCCACUUCAGUGGCGUACC
RNAcentral lists this long non-coding RNA (397 nucleotides) under Volvox carteri. RNAcentral describes it as "long non-coding RNA (VCAR_LNC001524)". The record is from RNAcentral. Lineage: Eukaryota; Viridiplantae; Chlorophyta; Chlorophyceae; Chlamydomonadales; Volvocaceae.